CUAUACAUUAUUGUCAGCAAGUCAAUUUGUCUUCCAGUCUUACCAGCAUGUUGGGGGCAGAAAUGUUCAGCCUUUUUAAUGUCCUCGGUCCAGCUGACCUGGUUGCUAUGGUUACAGAUGAUUGAGUCAUUCAGCAGGUCACAGUGAGGUUACAGGAGUCUGAGCUGUUGGACACAGAGUCCACUGACAGUUCAACUGGAGACACUGGACCUGAGGAGGGAACGUUUGGGUGAAAUGUUUUAGAAACAUGGCAGCAGAUUCUCUCUGUCAGUGUCUGAAAUGUUAACAAACCUACCUUGAACUGUGACGUUGUAUUCAGCUAGUAUUCGUUCUUCUUCAGACCCUGUCACUCGUGCAGUAUAAACUCCACUGUCUGCCUCUUGUA
Molecule: long non-coding RNA, 385 nt
Organism: Micropterus dolomieu (smallmouth bass)
Lineage: Eukaryota; Metazoa; Chordata; Actinopteri; Centrarchiformes; Centrarchidae
Exons: 2
Source: RefSeq, a predicted model, not a curated record